RNAcentral lists this ribosomal RNA (505 nucleotides) under uncultured bacterium. Its description in RNAcentral is "partial 16S ribosomal RNA". It matches the Rfam family "Bacterial small subunit ribosomal RNA", at positions 28 to 507 of the family's 1533-position model. The record is from RNAcentral.
GACGAACGCUGGCGGCGUGCCUAAUACAUGCGAGUAGAACGCACAGUUUAUACCGUAGCUUGCUCCACCAUAAACUGUGAGUUGCGAACGGGUGAGUAACGCGUAGGUAACCUGCCUGGUAGCGGGGGAUAACUAUUGGAAACGAUAGCUAAUACCGCAUAAUAUUAAUUAUUGCAUGAUAAUUGAUUGAAAGAUGCAAUUGCAUCACUACCAGAUGGACCUGCGUUGUAUUAGCUAGUAGGUGAGGUAACGGCUCACCUAGGCGACGAUACAUAGCCGACCUGAGAGGGUGAUCGGCCACACUGGGACUGAGACACGGCCCAGACUCCUACGGGAGGCAGCAGUAGGGAAUCUUCGGCAAUGGACGAAAGUCUGACCGAGCAACGCCGCGUGAGUGAAGAAGGUUUUCGGAUCGUAAAGCUCUGUUGUAAGAGAAGAACGGGUGUGAGAGUGGAAAGUUCACACUGUGACGGUAUCUUACCAGAAAGGGACGGCUAACUACGUG